This 271-nucleotide ribosomal RNA is filed under the name uncultured soil bacterium. Its description in RNAcentral is "partial 16S ribosomal RNA". It matches the Rfam family "Bacterial small subunit ribosomal RNA", at positions 26 to 285 of the family's 1533-position model. The record is from RNAcentral.
AGAAUCAACGCUGGCGGCGUGCCUAACACAUGCAAGUCGAACGCGAAAGGGGAGCAAUCCCUGAUUAGAGUGGCAAACGGGUGAGUAACGCGUGGGUGACCUGCCUUCGAGUGGGGGAUAACCUUCCGAAAGGAGGGCUAAUACCGCAUGACAUACCGUGUUGGAUACACGGAUAUCAAAGGCCGGGGAUCGCAAGACCUGGCGCUUGGAGAGGGGCCCGCGUCCGAUUAGCUAGGUUGGUGAGGUAACGCUCACCAAGGCUCGAUCGGUA